ACCCGCUGAACUUAAGCAUAUCAGUAAGCGGAGGAAAAGAAACUAACUAGGAUUCCCCGAGUAGCGGCGAGCGAAAAGGGAGAAGCCCAGCGCCGAAGCCCGCGGCCUCUGGUCGCCGUGCAAUGUGGCGUUUCGGUGGCGGCUCGCCACGGCAUCUCUGGCAUGCGUACCUCUGAAUGGGUCUGCCCGCAGCGGGUGUCAGGCCUCUACUUGCCAACGAGUUGCCGCGGCCUGCCGUCCAUCGCGGAGUCGGGUUGCUUGAGAGUGCAGCCCAAAGUGGGUGGUAAGCUCCAUCUAAGGCUAAAUACCUAGUGCGAGACCGAUAGCAAACAAGUACCGUGAGGGAAAGUUGCAAAGAACUUUGAAAAGAGAGUUCAAGAGUACGUGAAACCGUUCAGAGGCAAACGGACGGAACUGGGCGAGUUCGCCGCCGUCAUUCAGCCGUCUGCCCGUCCUCGGCGGGCAGGCGGUGCACUUGGCGGCGGCGGAGCGCGACGACCGCCUCUUGGGUCGUCAGAAGCCUGGCGGCAAGGUGGCGACGCGUUCGCGCGUCGUGUUAGAGGCCGCCGAGGCGUCGGCAGACUCGAGGGGCGAGGAGCGCCUGCGGUGCACUCCCUGCGCGGGAGUGACCCGUCGCGGUGGGCUUGCGGAUGCCGGCGGCGAACUGCUCGCAGUUCGCUGUCGCGUCGUUCCGUCUGUCGCGCCGUGCGGCGUCACGUGGCACCCAGGGUCCGGGUCGCGUGGUUCCUGGCACUCCGUCCGACCCGUCUUGAAACACGGACCAAGGAGUUGAGCACGCUCGCGAGUCGAUGGGCUCGUAUGAACCCCAGAGGCGCAGCUAAGGCAAAACGGGCGUGAUCCGGCACUGGCGUGUCGGCGCAACGCCGGCCCGCAGCCGACUCGAUGCGAGUGGCUGCGGCGCAAGAGCGAGCGCGCUCAGACCCGAAAGGUGGUGAACUAUGCUUGAGCAGGGCGAAGCCAGAGGAAACUCUGGUGGA
RNAcentral lists this ribosomal RNA (998 nucleotides) under Euoplozoum sp. n. RJO-2020. RNAcentral describes it as "partial large subunit ribosomal RNA". It matches the Rfam family "Eukaryotic large subunit ribosomal RNA", at positions 23 to 871 of the family's 3401-position model. The record is from RNAcentral. Lineage: Eukaryota; Metazoa; Bryozoa; Gymnolaemata; Cheilostomatida; Euoplozoidae.